GAGGCGAUGAAGGACGUGCUAAUCUGCGAUAAGCGCCGGUAAGGUGAUAUGAACCGUUAUAACCGGCGAUUUCCGAAUGGGGAAACCCAGUGUGAUUCGUCACACUAUCAUUAACUGAAUCCAUAGGUUAAUGAGGCGAACCGGGGGAACUGAAACAUCUAAGUACCCCGAGGAAAAGAAAUCAACCGAGAUUCCCCCAGUAGCGGCGAGCGAACGGGGAGGAGCCCAGAGCCUGAAUCAGCAUGUGUGUUAGUGGAAGCGUCUGGAAAGGCGCGCGAUACAGGGUGACAGCCCCGUACACAAAAGCGCAUGUGCUGUGAGCUCGAUGAGUAGGGCGGGACACGUGGUAUCCUGUCUGAAUAUGGGGGGACCAUCCUCCAAGGCUAAAUACUCCUGACUGACCGAUAGUGAACCAGUACCGUGAGGGAAAGGCGAAAAGAACCCCGGCGAGGGGAGUGAAAAAGAACCUGAAACCGU
Molecule: ribosomal RNA, 477 nt
Filed under: Salmonella enterica
Lineage: Bacteria; Pseudomonadati; Pseudomonadota; Gammaproteobacteria; Enterobacterales; Enterobacteriaceae
Description: partial 23S ribosomal RNA
Rfam family: Bacterial large subunit ribosomal RNA
Source: RNAcentral